GAUUAAGUUAUUAAGGGCGCACGGUGGAUGCCUUGGCACUAGAAGCCGAUGAAGGACGUUACUAACGACGAUAUGCUUUGGGGAGCUGUAAGUAAGCUUUGAUCCAGAGAUUUCCGAAUGGGGAAACCCAGCAUGAGUUAUGUCAUGUUAUCGAUAUGUGAAUACAUAGCAUAUUAGAAGGCACACCCGGAGAACUGAAACAUCUUAGUACCCGGAGGAAGAGAAAGAAAAUUCGAUUCCCUUAGUAGCGGCGAGCGAAACGGGAAGAGCCCAAACCAACAAGCUUGCUUGUUGGGGUUGUAGGACACUCUAUACGGAGUUACAAAGGACGACAUUAGACGAAUCAUCUGGAAAGAUGAAUCAAAGAAGGUAAUAAUCCUGUAGUCGAAAAUGUUGUCUCUCUUGAGUGGAUCCUGAGUACGACGGAGCACGUGAAAUUCCGUCGGAAUCUGGGAGGACCAUCUCCUAAGGCUAAAUACUCUCUAGUGACCGAUAGUGAACCAGUACCGUGAGGGAAAGGUGAAAAGCACCCCGGAAGGGGAGUGAAAUAGAACCUGAAACCGUGUGCUUACAAGUAGUCAGAGCCCGUUAAUGGGUGAUGGCGUGCCUUUUGUAGAAUGAACCGGCGAGUUACGAUUUGAUGCAAGGUUAAGCAGUAAAUGUGGAGCCGUAGCGAAAGCGAGUCUGAAUAGGGCGUUUAGUAUUUGGUCGUAGACCCGAAACCAGGUGAUCUACCCUUGGUCAGGUUGAAGUUCAGGUAACACUGAAUGGAGGACCGAACCGACUUACGUUGAAAAGUGAGCGGAUGAACUGAGGGUAGCGGAGAAAUUCCAAUCGAACCUGGAGAUAGCUGGUUCUCUCCGAAAUAGCUUUAGGGCUAGCCUCAAGUGAUGAUUAUUGGAGGUAGAGCACUGUUUGGACGAGGGGCCCCUCUCGGGUUACCGAAUUCAGACAAACUCCGAAUGCCAAUUAAUUUAACUUGGGAGUCAGAACAUGGGUGAUAAGGUCCGUGUUCGAAAGGGAAACAGCCCAGACCACCAGCUAAGGUCCCAAAAUAUAUGUUAAGUGGAAAAGGAUGUGGCGUUGCCCAGACAACUAGGAUGUUGGCUUAGAAGCAGCCAUCAUUUAAAGAGUGCGUAAUAGCUCACUAGUCGAGUGACACUGCGCCGAAAAUGUACCGGGGCUAAACAUAUUACCGAAGCUGUGGAUUGUCCUUUGGACAAUGGUAGGAGAGCGUUCUAAGGGCGUUGAAGCAUGAUCGUAAGGACAUGUGGAGCGCUUAGAAGUGAGAAUGCCGGUGUGAGUAGCGAAAGACGGGUGAGAAUCCCGUCCACCGAUUGACUAAGGUUUCCAGAGGAAGGCUCGUCCGCUCUGGGUUAGUCGGGUCCUAAGCUGAGGCCGACAGGCGUAGGCGAUGGAUAACAGGUUGAUAUUCCUGUACCACCUAUAAUCGUUUUAAUCGAUGGGGGGACGCAGUAGGAUAGGCGAAGCGUGCGAUUGGAUUGCACGUCUAAGCAGUAAGGCUGAGUAUUAGGCAAAUCCGGUACUCGUUAAGGCUGAGCUGUGAUGGGGAGAAGACAUUGUGUCUUCGAGUCGUUGAUUUCACACUGCCGAGAAAAGCCUCUAGAUAGAAAAUAGGUGCCCGUACCGCAAACCGACACAGGUAGUCAAGAUGAGAAUUCUAAGGUGAGCGAGCGAACUCUCGUUAAGGAACUCGGCAAAAUGACCCCGUAACUUCGGGAGAAGGGGUGCUCUUUAGGGUUAACGCCCAGAAGAGCCGCAGUGAAUAGGCCCAAGCGACUGUUUAUCAAAAACACAGGUCUCUGCUAAACCGUAAGGUGAUGUAUAGGGGCUGACGCCUGCCCGGUGCUGGAAGGUUAAGAGGAGUGGUUAGCUUCUGCGAAGCUACGAAUCGAAGCCCCAGUAAACGGCGGCCGUAACUAUAACGGUCCUAAGGUAGCGAAAUUCCUUGUCGGGUAAGUUCCGACCCGCACGAAAGGCGUAACGAUUUGGGCACUGUCUCAACGAGAGACUCGGUGAAAUCAUAGUACCUGUGAAGAUGCAGGUUACCCGCGACAGGACGGAAAGACCCCGUGGAGCUUUACUGUAGCCUGAUAUUGAAAUUCGGCACAGCUUGUACAGGAUAGGUAGGAGCCUUUGAAACGUGAGCGCUAGCUUACGUGGAGGCGCUGGUGGGAUACUACCCUAGCUGUGUUGGCUUUCUAACCCGCACCACUUAUCGUGGUGGGAGACAGUGUCAGGCGGGCAGUUUGACUGGGGCGGUCGCCUCCUAAAAGGUAACGGAGGCGCUCAAAGGUUCCCUCAGAAUGGUUGGAAAUCAUUCAUAGAGUGUAAAGGCAUAAGGGAGCUUGACUGCGAGACCUACAAGUCGAGCAGGGUCGAAAGACGGACUUAGUGAUCCGGUGGUUCCGCAUGGAAGGGCCAUCGCUCAACGGAUAAAAGCUACCCCGGGGAUAACAGGCUUAUCUCCCCCAAGAGUUCACAUCGACGGGGAGGUUUGGCACCUCAAUGUCGGCUCAUCGCAUCCUGGGGCUGUAGUCGGUCCCAAGGGUUGGGCUGUUCGCCCAUUAAAGCGGUACGCGAGCUGGGUUCAGAACGUCGUGAGACAGUUCGGUCCCUAUCCGUCGUGGGCGUAGGAAAUUUGAGAGGAGCUGUCCUUAGUACGAGAGGACCGGGAUGGACAUACCUCUGGUGUACCAGUUGUCGUGCCAACGGCAUAGCUGGGUAGCUAUGUGUGGACGGGAUAAGUGCUGAAAGCAUCUAAGCAUGAAGCCCCCCUCAAGAUGAGAUUUCCCAACUUCGGUUAUAAGAUCCCUCAAAGAUGAUGAGGUUAAUAGGUUCGAGGUGGAAGCAUGGUGACAUGUGGAGCUGACGAAUACUAAUCGAUCGAAGACUUAAUCAA
RNAcentral lists this ribosomal RNA (2923 nucleotides) under Staphylococcus aureus. Its description in RNAcentral is "23S ribosomal RNA". It matches the Rfam family "Bacterial large subunit ribosomal RNA". Lineage: Bacteria; Bacillati; Bacillota; Bacilli; Caryophanales; Staphylococcaceae. The record is from RNAcentral.